This 2557-nucleotide long non-coding RNA is filed under the name Panax ginseng (ginseng). RNAcentral describes it as "long non-coding RNA (PGIN_LNC004945)". Lineage: Eukaryota; Viridiplantae; Streptophyta; Magnoliopsida; Apiales; Araliaceae. The record is from RNAcentral.
GAUUCUUUAAAACUUUUUCACUUAUUAAUAGAGAAUGAACUAUAUCAAAUUUGUUAAUUAAGAUAUCACAGUUCAAGUAUAGCAAGAUAUAAUAGAUAUAACAAUUAAUGGACAGUAAGUAAACGACAUAGGUGUUUUAAGUGGUUCAAAGUACUUAAGCCUCCUAAUCCAUUAUUCUACUCCUCGAGUAGGAAAUCUACUAAGGAUAUCGUUACAGUUUUGAAUCACUAAGAUUUCUUCAAGACCAGCAGCCUUGGAACUCCAGUACACUGAGUAUCCUUUAAGACCAACAGCCUUGGAACUCUAGUUCACUAAGAACACUUCAAACCCAGCAUACUUGGAACUCUUACGCUUUGUUUAGAAAGUGUAUUGUGUUACUAAGUUUCCUUAAACAUGAGUUAAUUUGAUGAACUUAGUAGCGAAGUAAAAUGUUUAUUUCAAAUCGUAGAGUGAGGCUUUGACAGAUCUUGAAUUGUUCGUUUGUACUUGCUUGAUUGUAAUCUUCAAUUUGUUUACCUUAUAUAGAUGCCUCUGAAAUCUUCCCGUUGAGACUUUCUCGUUGCAUCAAAUUCUUCCCGUUGAGACAUGUUGGUGCAUUGAUGAAUAGUUUAUUCCUUGGUGUGCACACUAGUGGGGUGUUGGACCAAGAUAGUGGCCGACAAGUAUGCUUUUUGUGCUGCCCUUCAUGGUUGUUUGAAUCCCACUGAGUUUGAUUCUCCAUUGAGAUCAAGUAAUCAGCAAUUUACUUGGGAAGGUCACUCUACAGCUUGGAUUUUGGCAAUCCAUCAUGGGCAACAUAGAAUAUUAAUUAUCGAUCUGGGUUGCACGCUUUUGAUGAAGAUCGUAGAUUAUCUUGCUAGUCGUAGAGUCUUAGUGACAUCGUAGAGUGACUUUCUGAACUUGCUAUACGAUCUCUAAUAAGACUUAAUUGAUGCUGUAGAUGAGCUCUAUGAUCUCCAUUUAGCUCUUUGGUCAUUCAGAGAUAACUUGCAUGAUUAGCCUGGUAAUCUUCUUGAAGAUUGUUGUCUUAAUCUUGAAUGCUCUUUCAGAGGUAGCUCUACGUUCUUCUCGGUCGUAGGGUAUCGUAAAGUGACUGACUGUAUUAGCUCUACGAUCCAGAGCGAGCUCUACAAUUCGGACUGAGCCUUUACUCUGUGAUUGCCUGGCAGACUCUACGAUAAUGCACUUAGCUCUGCGAUCCUUUACUUACUGCUCUACGAUCUUUCUCUGGUUGCUCUACGAUCAUACCAGAGUUGCUCUACGAUAGUUUGAGCAGUGCUCUACGAUCAGUCUGGCCUUAUCAUUUCUAUUCCAAUUCAGCUCAUAAUUGAUCAACCUAACAAGUUUGAUCAUUGUAUUCUAAGUUAUUGUACAUCAUAAUCUUUUGAAGGACUUUACAAUUCAACUACUUAGACACAUAUACAUUAAGAUCAUAACAUCAAAUUUUAAUCAUGUGAUUCCUAACAGACAUUGUUUACGCCUUUUUUGGACCCUUCAUGAACCUAGACAUUGUUUACGCCUUUAUUUCCUUUGGCUUAUAGCUGAGCUUUGAUUUGAUUUGGCAUGCUUAUUCACCUUUAUUAUAACCUCAUAUAUCAUACAAACUUACCCCAGCUCUUAAUUGUUUCUAGUAAUUGAUAUUUAAUCAAAACAGUCCACUUGGGACUUUUAUCGAACACUUGGUGUGGACAGUUUAAAACUACUUAUGUCAUAGCUAUUUGUUUGUAUUAAGCAUCCAUUUUAUCACCCUUAUUGCUCCUCAGUCCAACCUAUCUCCUUGUGCCUAAUUUCAAUUCAUAGCAAUACAACAAUAGCAUAGCAGUUACUAACUUCCUAUAGCAGUAACAUAGCAACUCAAACAUUUCAAUGCAGCAGUCCUUCUAUUGCCAGCCAUUCGGCAUUACAGUUCAAUGAAAAGGAAUGGAAAAGAUUCAAUUUAGUAUACCUUGUUGGGCUACUUGAUUAUAGACUUCAAGAUAAAGAGAUUGAUGGUUGCUUUGUUGUUUAAGCCUUCUCUUUUACCAGUCGGAUGCUUACACCUUCACCACAUAACUUCUACUGAUUUUUGCUCUUAGUAUAUUUGUACAGCUACUGAACUUGGGUGUAUGGUGUGGCCAUAUAUGGCUGAACUUUGGCUAGUCAUCAUGGCCCUAUUGCUUGCUUUCUUUAACCUAUACCUACUAUGUUAUGGACUCAUUCAGCCCCCUGACACAAAACUCAGUUGGCUCCUAAUUACCUUAUCUGAUAUGCCCUACUUGGCCCCUACAUUAGCUACCUUACUUGGUCUCAAAAACUUCUGUGCUGCAGUCUACUCCUAGCAGUUAAGUUGGCUUGUAGUGACCCCUACUGUUUUACUGUUGCAACUCUACUUGGCCUUUGCAGUGGGUUAAUCCUCUAGCAACCAACUGAAACAUCUAUAGUUACUAACUAACUACUAACUAAUUGACUAACCAAUGCAAUAAACACAGUUAACUCCCUGCCCUGCCUACUUAUUCCUAUUUGGGCAGAUCAGCCCCUUUAUUUUAUACUUCAAGUGGUCUGCCGGAUGGGCAAAGAC